CAUUAGAUGGCUGAAGGCAAGCAAUGGAAUUUUAAACCAUUUUAUAAUAGAAUAGCAACUAUUUCUAAUG
This 70-nucleotide transfer RNA is filed under the name Megacyllene sp. KM-2017. Its description in RNAcentral is "tRNA-Lys". The record is from RNAcentral. Lineage: Eukaryota; Metazoa; Arthropoda; Insecta; Coleoptera; Cerambycidae.